GGUUUUAUAUUCAAACAAAUGAUUUUAGAUUGCAAAUCUAAAGGUACCCAUAGGUUAAAACCU
This 63-nucleotide transfer RNA is filed under the name Neoplerochila sp. RNAcentral's name for it is "tRNA-Cys". The record is from RNAcentral. Lineage: Eukaryota; Metazoa; Arthropoda; Insecta; Hemiptera; Tingidae.